UACGUAGGGGGCAAGCGUUGUCCGGAUUCAUUGGGCGUAAAGAGCGUGUAGGCGGCCAGGUAGGUCGGUUGUGAAAACUGGAGGCUCAACCUUCAGAGGUCGACCGAAACCAUCUGGCUAGAGUCCGGGAGAGGAGAGUGGAAUUCCUGGUGUAGCGGUGAAAUGCGCAGAUAUCAGGAAGAACACCCGUGGCGAAAGCGGCUCUCUGGAACGGUACUGACGCUGAGGCGCGACAGCGUGGGGAUCAAACAGG
RNAcentral lists this ribosomal RNA (253 nucleotides) under uncultured bacterium. RNAcentral describes it as "partial 16S ribosomal RNA". It matches the Rfam family "Bacterial small subunit ribosomal RNA", at positions 524 to 776 of the family's 1533-position model. The record is from RNAcentral.